UUCAGGUUUUCGGGUUUCAAUCUGGUUCAGGUCUCUAGUUUCAUUCUGGUUCAGGUCUUAAAGGAUGAGUUUAGACCUGCCUCCUCCUCCAUACUUCCUUCAUACCUUCAUUCUGCAGAUUCUUCAGAUGCCUCUCUGCUCUGUGUCCUCUCACCCACAGCAGCUGGUCUUCCUCUCAUCCUGUCUGUCCUCACCUGUCUGUCCUCACCUGUCUGUCUGAAGGAAUAAAAACCCACCUGUCCUCUCAGAGCAGAGUGGGCGGGGCUCUGUGGCCUCCUCUUCUUCUCCUGGUCUUCAUUAUGUCGACCAGAUCAGUUUACAUCAUCUUUGUGUCGCUGGCUGUCGUCCAAAACCCUCAAGAAAAAUAUGAACUGUGGUUUUAACAAAAUAAAAGCCACCCUGAAGGCUGGGAAGAAAUGGGUGAUUUGUUCCCUGAGUUUGUACUGAAGGCAACGCUUCCUCCACAGUUUAUGUUCCAUGAUAACAAAAGAGGAACGUUCUGAAACCGACAUUCAAAAAUUGUUUUCCAGAUGUUAUCAAGGCCUGAGAUGAUUUUUUUUUUUUUUAUAAUAUUCUGCCUGCAAUGUUCUGAGGAUGUUUGUUGAUGAAACACAUUGUAGACAGUUCUUCUAUAAAAUGUUUUCCCAGUGAUAACAAAUGAAGGAUGUUCUCAAUCCAGCAUUCGGAGAAUGUUAAGAUGUUAUCACGGCCUCAAGAGUCUUGUACAGGUACAUAUUAAAAAGGUGGAACAAUCUGCCUGCAAUGAGUGGUUUGGGGAAUGUUGUUGCUGGAACACACUGAAGAAUCUAUUCAGUUCCAUGGUAACAAAGGAAAAAAGUUCUCCAUGUAACAUUCCAUUUUGAGAACAUUAGAGCAGUCUGACGGUCUGACAGUGUUAUCACCCAACAUUUUUAGAACGUCUUUAAGAAAACAUUCUGGGAAUGAAACGAAAACUCCCACUGAAAAUAUUAGUAGAACUUUGCAGAACUUUCUCAGAAUCUUGCAUCAAAACACAUCAUUGUUAAUGAUAACUACCAUGGAACGUUCUCACAACAUCGGAUAACAUUACUUAUGCAUUUUAAUCAUUUUUAACAUUUGAAUCGAACACUCAAAGAAAGUUUUAUGAGUAUUUUCAUUUCCAACGAUGUCCCAGUCAUGUUUUAUUGUUGACUCCAGAGGACGUUGUCUAGAACACAGAUGAUGUUCCAUGAUAACAGAGAAGGAACAUUCUCAAACUAAAAUGUAAAAAACGCUUUCCAGUUGUGAUCAAAGCCUCACAUGACAGAAUGUUUUAUGUACAGAACAGUUUUAAACGUUCCGUUGUGCGAUAUGUUGAAAGUGGAACAUUUUGCCUUUUUGUUAAGGGUUCUUCAAUAAAACAUUCUCACAGUGUUUUCA
Long non-coding RNA from Amphiprion ocellaris (clown anemonefish), 1398 nucleotides. The record is from Ensembl. Lineage: Eukaryota; Metazoa; Chordata; Actinopteri; Pomacentridae.